Molecule: ribosomal RNA, 119 nt
Filed under: Pteropus alecto (black flying fox)
Lineage: Eukaryota; Metazoa; Chordata; Mammalia; Chiroptera; Pteropodidae
Source: RNAcentral
GUCUACGGCCAUGCCACUCUGAACAAGCCCGAUCCCGUCUGAUCUUGGAAGCUCAGCAGGGUCGGGCCUGGUUAGUACCUGAAUGGGAGACCACCUAGGAAGACCAGGUGCCGUAGGCG